RNAcentral lists this ribosomal RNA (227 nucleotides) under uncultured Bacteroides sp. RNAcentral's name for it is "partial 16S ribosomal RNA". It matches the Rfam family "Bacterial small subunit ribosomal RNA", at positions 383 to 607 of the family's 1533-position model. Lineage: Bacteria; Pseudomonadati; Bacteroidota; Bacteroidia; Bacteroidales; Bacteroidaceae. The record is from RNAcentral.
CUGAACCAGCCAAGUAGCGUGAAGGAUGACUGCCCUAUGGGUUGUAAACUUCUUUUAUACGGGAAUAAAGUGAGACACGUGUGCCUUUUUGUAUGUACCGUAUGAAUAAGGAUCGGCUAACUCCGUGCCAGCAGCCGCGGUAAUACGGAGGAUCCGAGCGUUAUCCGGAUUUAUUGGGUUUAAAGGGAGCGUAGGCGGACGCUUAAGUCAGUUGUGAAAGUUUGCGG